CAGCCGCCGCGGUAAUACGUAGGUGGCAAGCGUUGUCCGGAAUUAUUGGGCGUAAAGGGCUCGCAGGCGGUUUCUUAAGUCUGAUGUGAAAGCCCCCGGCUCAACCGGGGAGGGUCAUUGGAGACUGGGAAACUUGAGUGCAGAAGAGGAGAGUGGAAUUCCACGUGUAGCGGUGAAAUGCGUAGAGAUGUGGAGGAACACCAGUGGCGAAGGCGACUCUCUGGUCUGUAACUGACGCUGAGGAGCGAAAGCGUGGGGAGCGAACAGGAUUAGAUACCCGGGUAGUCCCUGUCUCUUAUAC
This 301-nucleotide ribosomal RNA is filed under the name uncultured bacterium. RNAcentral describes it as "partial 16S ribosomal RNA". It matches the Rfam family "Bacterial small subunit ribosomal RNA", at positions 509 to 807 of the family's 1533-position model. The record is from RNAcentral.